GUUUCAGCAGCCGCGGUAAGACGGAGCAGGCAAGCGUUGUUCGGAAUCACUGGGCUUAAAGCGCGUGUAGGCGGCCUUGCAAGUACCUUGUGAAAGCCCUCGUCUCAACCGAGGAACUGCUUGGUAUACUGCAAGGCUUGAGGCGGGUAGGGGUGCUUGGAACUCUAGGUGGAGCGGUGAAAUGCGUAGAGAUCUAGGGGAACGCCUGUGGCGAAAGCGGAGCACUGGGCCCGACCUGACGCUGAGACGCGAAAGCGUGGGUAGCAAACGGGAUUAGAAACCCUGGUAGUCC
RNAcentral lists this ribosomal RNA (292 nucleotides) under uncultured bacterium. Its description in RNAcentral is "partial 16S ribosomal RNA". It matches the Rfam family "Bacterial small subunit ribosomal RNA", at positions 505 to 796 of the family's 1533-position model. The record is from RNAcentral.